RNAcentral lists this non-coding RNA (238 nucleotides) under Finegoldia magna. RNAcentral's name for it is "T-box sequence". It matches the Rfam family "T-box leader". Rfam says of the family: Uncharged tRNA acts as the effector for transcription antitermination of genes in the T-box leader family. T-boxes are found upstream of many aminoacyl-tRNA synthetase genes and some amino acid biosynthetic genes usually in Gram-positive bacteria. The record is from RNAcentral. Lineage: Bacteria; Bacillati; Bacillota; Tissierellia; Tissierellales; Peptoniphilaceae.
AAAAUGACUAUGAUGAGAUGAGUAUGUAAUAUUUUUUUUAAAGAGAGUCUUAGUUUGCUGGAAUAAGAUACUAAAUUAUUACAGAAUAUGGUCUUUGAGUUUGAAAAGUUGAAUAGCUUAUGCUUUUAAAUUUUUCCGGGAGCAUCCGUUAUCAAAUGCUAGGCAUGAAAGUGCCAAACAAUGAGAGAAUAUUUUUUAUUCUAAAAUUAAGGUGGUAACGCGGAUUUUCGCCCUUAUA